GUAGGGUGGGCAAGCGUUGUCCCGGAAUUAUUGGGGCGUUAAAAGCGCGCGCAGGGCGGUCCUUUAAGUCUGAUGUGAAAAGCCCACGGCUCAAACCGUGGAGGGUCAUUGGAAAACUGGGGGGACUUGAGUACAGAAGAGGAAAAGCGGAAUUCCAAGUGUAGCGGUGAAAUGCGUAGAGAUUUGGAGGAACACCAGUGGCGAAGGCGGCUUUCUGGUCUGUAACUGACGCUGAGGCGCGAAAGCGUGGGGAGCAAACAGGAUUAGAUACCCUGGUAGUCCACGCCGUAAACGAUGAGUGCUAAGUGUUAGGGGGUUUCCGCCCCUUAGUGCUGCAGCUAACGCAUUAAGCACUCCGCCUGGGGAGUACGGCCGCAAGGCUG
RNAcentral lists this ribosomal RNA (383 nucleotides) under uncultured organism. RNAcentral's name for it is "partial 16S ribosomal RNA". It matches the Rfam family "Bacterial small subunit ribosomal RNA", at positions 525 to 896 of the family's 1533-position model. The record is from RNAcentral.